CGUCAGCUCGUGUCGUGAGAUGUUGGGUUAAGUCCCGCAACGAGCGCAACCCCUACCUCUAGUUGCCAUCAAGUUUAGAUUUUAUCUAGAUGUUGGGUACUUUAUAGGGACUGCCGGUGAUAAUCCGGAGGAAGGUGGGGAUGACGUCAAGUCCUCAUGGCCCUUAUGGGCUGGGCUACACACGUGCUACAAUGGUGGUUACAAUGGGUUGCGA
RNAcentral lists this ribosomal RNA (214 nucleotides) under Pseudomonas sp. ICMP 19500. RNAcentral describes it as "partial 16S ribosomal RNA". It matches the Rfam family "Bacterial small subunit ribosomal RNA", at positions 1053 to 1252 of the family's 1533-position model. Lineage: Bacteria; Pseudomonadati; Pseudomonadota; Gammaproteobacteria; Pseudomonadales; Pseudomonadaceae. The record is from RNAcentral.